GUGGGGAAUCUUCCGCAAUGGACGAAAGUCUGACGGAGCGACGCCGCGUGAGUGAAGAAGGCCUUCGGGUCGUAAAGCUCUGUCAUCAGGGACGAACGGCCGGUGGAGUGGAAAGCCACCGGAUUGACGGUACCUGAGAAGGAAGCCACGGCUACCUACGUGCCAGCAGCCGCGGUAAUACGUAGGUGGCAAGCGUUGUCCGGAAUAAUUGGGCGUAAAGCGCGCGCAGGUGGGAUCUUAAGUCCAUUUUUAAAGUUCGGAGCUCAACUCCGUGAUGGGAUGGAAACUGGGAUUCUUGAGUACCGGAGAGGAAAGCGGAAUUCCCCGUGUAGCGGUGAAAUGCGUAGAUAUGGGGAGGAACACCAGUGGCGAAGGCGGCUUUCUGGACGGUGUCUGACACUGAGGCGCGAAAGCCAGGGGAGCGAACGGGAUUAGAUACCCCGGUAGUCC
RNAcentral lists this ribosomal RNA (450 nucleotides) under uncultured bacterium. RNAcentral describes it as "partial 16S ribosomal RNA". It matches the Rfam family "Bacterial small subunit ribosomal RNA", at positions 354 to 796 of the family's 1533-position model. The record is from RNAcentral.